Long non-coding RNA from Ipomoea triloba (trilobed morning glory), 836 nucleotides. RefSeq lists it as uncharacterized. The record is from RefSeq and is a predicted model, not a curated record. The transcript is spliced from 2 exons. NCBI's taxonomy places the organism in Eukaryota, Viridiplantae, Streptophyta, Magnoliopsida, Solanales, Convolvulaceae.
ACUCGUAUCUCAAUGACUUCCCCAGUUCCACGUUCAUCUCUCUAAAUUAAAGCUUCUUCUCUUUGCUUCAUCUCUGUCUCCCCACACAUCUCUCUAAAUUAAAAUUCUCCCCCCUCCCCCAAAAGAUCUGGUCUCGUUCCUCAGAUCCGCCAGUGAUUGCUUCCUCAGGACAUCUGUCGUCUCCAUUUCAGCGAUUCAUGCUCUAUUCUUCCGCCAGCUGCUGUAAUACCGCGACGAGUACGACGACCAAGGCAGAGAUCUCAGAUCCGGCGGCAUAGAUCUCAGCUCCGGCGGCAGAAAGCUCAGAUCCAGCGGUAGAGAGCUCAAAUCCGGUGGUAGAGAGCUGAAUCCGACGGCAGAGAGCUCAGAUCCAGUGUCACAAAAGCAGCGCAGGAUGGGAGAAGUCCAGAUGAACUGACAUUCAAUUCUGAUGAGAAGCUAACAAUAAAAUGGGUAAGUUAAGAUUCAGUGUAAAGAAGAGUGCAAAACAUUAUUGUUAUAGGUUUUUUUUUUUUUUGUAUAUUUGUUUUCAGGCGUUGAAGUCGUGAAGAUACUGAAAAGAGGAGAUACUAUAAUGGCUAUGGAUCUGAGAUUACGAAGAAGUCCAGCUUCCAUUAAAGCAAUGGAUGAAGUAUUUUUUCUUUGAAAUACAAUACAUAAGUAUUCUUUUCCAUGGUUUUUUGUCAUUUUAAUUUGAUUUUCUUUGAAUUUAGUUUGUGAAAGAAUGCAUAGACAUUGUAUUUUUUGUAUUUAUUUUUCUGUAAUUUCUUUUCAUUGUAUAUAUAUUCAGAUUUCAGAGUGCAUGAGUGUAUAUCAGUGUAUUGUAUUUGUGUGUA